GAUGAACGCUAGCGGCAGGCUUAAUACAUGCAAGUCGUGGGGCAGCGCAGUGUAGCAAUACAUGGGCGGCGACCGGCAAACGGGUGCGCAAUACGUACGCAACCUUCCUUUAAGCGGGGAAUAGCCCAGGGAAACUUGGAUUAAUACUCCAUAACAUAAUGAAGAGGCAUCUCUUUAUUAUUAAAGCUCCGGCACUUAAAGAUGGGCGUACGGCUGAUUAGGUAGUUGGCGGGGUAACGGCCCACCAAGCCUUCGAUCAGUAGCUGAUGUGAGAGCAUGAUCAGCCACACGGGCACUGAGACACGGGCCCGACUCCUACGGGUGGCAG
This 328-nucleotide ribosomal RNA is filed under the name uncultured Bacteroidota bacterium. RNAcentral's name for it is "bacterial SSU rRNA". It matches the Rfam family "Bacterial small subunit ribosomal RNA", at positions 28 to 351 of the family's 1533-position model. The record is from RNAcentral. Lineage: Bacteria; Pseudomonadati; Bacteroidota.